Molecule: long non-coding RNA, 202 nt
Filed under: Elaeis guineensis (African oil palm)
Lineage: Eukaryota; Viridiplantae; Streptophyta; Magnoliopsida; Arecales; Arecaceae
Description: long non-coding RNA (EGUI_LNC023070)
Source: RNAcentral
UUGGAAGAAUAUCCUCCAAAAGCUUUAGUAUACAGUUCACUCCAUUAUUAUUAAAUCCAUUAGAGUAUUUCGCAUGAUACUAUCAGAUUACGAACUUAAGCUUCGCCAUCUUUUCACACCUAGGAUACAAUGGAAUAUUAACAUCUUCCAUCAACUUAUGGGCCUUCUUUAUAUCCUUACUGUUUGUCAUGCCACCAACCAC